AACUAUAGUCGUGCCACCUUGAACGUGCUUGAUCUCGUCUGAUCUUGGAAGCUAAGCAGGGUCAGGCCUGGUUAGUACUCAGAUGGGAGACCACCUAGGAAUACCAGGUGCUGUGGGUG
Molecule: ribosomal RNA, 119 nt
Filed under: Pteropus alecto (black flying fox)
Lineage: Eukaryota; Metazoa; Chordata; Mammalia; Chiroptera; Pteropodidae
Source: RNAcentral